RNAcentral lists this unclassified non-coding RNA (217 nucleotides) under plant metagenome. RNAcentral's name for it is "partial contains small subunit ribosomal RNA and internal transcribed spacer 1". The record is from RNAcentral.
AAGUUAUAAUAAGGUUUCUAUAGGUAAACCUAUAGAAGGAUUAUUAUAGUAUAUUUAUAUCUAGGAUGUAGGGUGCUUUAGAGUACCCUUCCUACUAAACCUUGUAAAUUUAAACUUAAUAGUUACCUUAGUAGGCUUAACUACCUAUAGAUAAAUCUAAAUUCUUUAAUAAACUAGCUAUAAUUAAUAUAACUAUCUAAAUUAAUAUUAAUAAUUA